This 478-nucleotide ribosomal RNA is filed under the name uncultured bacterium. RNAcentral's name for it is "partial 16S ribosomal RNA". It matches the Rfam family "Bacterial small subunit ribosomal RNA", at positions 28 to 507 of the family's 1533-position model. The record is from RNAcentral.
GAUGAACGCUAGCGGCAGGCCUAACACAUGCAAGUCGAGGGAGAAGCCCUUUCGGGGGCAGACACCGGCGAACGGGUGCGUAACGCGUAUGCAACCUACCUUUCACAGGGGGAUAGCCCGAAGAAAUUUGGAUUAAUACCCCAUAAUAUUAUUGGAUGGCAUCAUUUGAUAAUUAAAACUGCGGUGGUGAAAGAUGGGCAUGCGUCCUAUUAGCUAGUUGGAGUGGUAACGGCACCCCAAGGCUACGAUAGGUAGGGGUCCUGAGAGGGAGAUCCCCCACACUGGUACUGAGACAGGGACCAGACUCCUACGGGAGGCAGCAGUGAGGAAUAUUGGUCAAUGGUCGGAAGACUGAACCAGCCAUGCCGCGUGCAGGAAGAAUGCCUUAUGGGUUGUAAACUGCUUUUAUAUGGGAAGAAUAAGGCGUACGUGUACGUUGAUGACGGUACCAUAUGAAUAAGCAUCGGCUAACUCCGUG